This 673-nucleotide ribosomal RNA is filed under the name Lactifluus volemus. Its description in RNAcentral is "bacterial SSU rRNA". It matches the Rfam family "Eukaryotic small subunit ribosomal RNA", at positions 906 to 1596 of the family's 1831-position model. The record is from RNAcentral. Lineage: Eukaryota; Fungi; Basidiomycota; Agaricomycetes; Russulales; Russulaceae.
UAANAUUUUCCCUUUGGGAAUUUACGAAAAACAAACUAUUGGCAAACGCAUUUGCCAAGGAUGUUUUCAUUAAUCAAAAACGAAGGUUAGGGGAUCGAAAACGAUCAAAUACCGUUGUAUUCUUAACAGUAAACUAUGCCGACAAGGGAUCGGACAACCUCAAUCUUAUGCGUCGUUCGGCACCUUACAANAAAUCAAAGUCUUUGGGUUCUGGGGGGAGUAUGGUCGCAAGGNUAAAACUUAAAGGAAUUGACGGANGGGCACCACCAGGAGUGGAGCCGGCGGCUUAAUUUGACUCAACACGGGGAAACUCACCAGGUCCAGACAUAACUAGGAUUGACAAAUUGAUACCUCUUUCUUGAUUUUAUGGGUGGUGGUGCAUGGCCGUUCUUAGUUGGNGGAGUGAUUUGUCNGGUUAAUUCCGAUAACGAACGAGACCUUAACCUGCUAAAUAUCCGGGCCGGCUUUUGCUGGUCACCGGCUUCUUAGAGGNACUGUCACCGUCUAGCUAACGGAAGUUUGAGGCAAUAACAGGUCUGUGAUGCCCUUAUAUGUUCUGGGCCGCACGCGCGCUACACUGACAGAGCCAGCGAGUUCUUUUCCUUGGCCCGGAAGGUCANGGGUAAUCUUGUGAAACUCUGUCGUGCUGGGGAUAGAGCAUNAAAANAAAANA